Molecule: ribosomal RNA, 259 nt
Filed under: uncultured bacterium
Lineage: Bacteria
Description: partial 16S ribosomal RNA
Rfam family: Bacterial small subunit ribosomal RNA
Source: RNAcentral
CGUAGGUGCAAGCGUUGUCCGGAAUUAUUGGGCGUAAAGAGCUCGUAGGCGGUUCUGUCGCGUCGGCUGUGGAAAACUCGGGGCUUCGAACCCCGAGCCUGCAGUCGAUACGGGCAGACUAGAGUGCUGUAGGGGAGACUGGAAUUCCUGGUGUAGCGGUAGAAAUGCGCAGAUAUCAGGAGGAACACCGGUGGCGAAGGCGGGUCUCUGGGUAGUAACUGACGCUGAGGAGCGAAAGCGUGGGGGAGCAAACAGGAUU